Small nuclear RNA from Microcebus murinus (gray mouse lemur), 63 nucleotides. Its record names the gene U7. It matches the Rfam family "U7 small nuclear RNA". Rfam says of the family: Animal histone pre-mRNAs are spliced by a different mechanism than nuclear pre-mRNAs and self-splicing introns. This processing involves the U7 snRNP, which contains only one RNA species: U7. Lineage: Eukaryota; Metazoa; Chordata; Mammalia; Primates; Cheirogaleidae. The record is from Ensembl.
GAGUGUUACAGCUCUUAUAAAAGUUGUCUAGCAAGCUUUCUUGUUUUUACUGGAAACACCCCU